GUUAAGUGACUAAGCGUACACGGUGGAUGCCUUGGCAGUUGGAGGCGAUGAAGGACGUACUAACUUGCGAUAAGCCUAGUCAAGCCAGUAAGAGGCGCUUGAGACUAGGAUUUCCGAAUGGGGAAACCCACCUGCUUGCAGGUAUCGUUAACUGAAUACAUAGGUUAACGAGGCGAACGCGGAGAACUGAAACAUCUAAGUACCCGUAGGAAAAGAAAUCAACCGAGAUUUCGUUAGUAGCGGCGAGCGAACGCGAAGGAGCCUGUUAGUGAUAAUGACAGAGACAGAGGAACAAGCUGGGAAGCUUGGCGAUACAGGGUGAUAGCCCCGUACUCGAAGUCCAGGUCAUGGUACUAAGCUAACGACAAGUAGGGCGGGACACGUGAUAUCCUGUUUGAAGAUGGGGGGACCAUCCUCCAAGGC
RNAcentral lists this ribosomal RNA (423 nucleotides) under uncultured Symbiodinium. RNAcentral describes it as "partial Bacterial large subunit ribosomal RNA". It matches the Rfam family "Bacterial large subunit ribosomal RNA", at positions 1 to 466 of the family's 2925-position model. The record is from RNAcentral. Lineage: Eukaryota; Dinophyceae; Suessiales; Symbiodiniaceae.